GUCCUCGUAGCUUACAACCCAAAGCAUGACACUGAAGAUGUCAAGACGGCUGACCACACACCCGAGAACA
RNAcentral lists this transfer RNA (70 nucleotides) under Ramphastos sulfuratus. RNAcentral describes it as "tRNA-Phe". Lineage: Eukaryota; Metazoa; Chordata; Aves; Piciformes; Ramphastidae. The record is from RNAcentral.